UGUUUCCUCAUUCCCAUACAUUGUCUUUUCCAACAUUCCACUUUUAAGGAGAAUAUACCAGUGAUCUUGCUCUUUGCUAUCUCUGUUUCAAAACAUGUCGAUGUUUUCCUUUAAAAAUGAUACCGCACCAUCUUCAGGCCUCUUUAGCAGUAGCAACCUAUUUGGUUCUACAUCCGGAAUUCAACAGAAUGGGAAUCCUUCUGUGCCAUUUGGAACAACAUCAUCAGCAUCAGCACUUGCUUCUUCUUUUGGAACCUCAACGUAGUAAGCAAGAACAUUACCCACCAUACUGAGAUAUUGCAGUUAUUACUAACAUUUGGAAAAAGAGUAGAGCUCUAUGCCACUUCAUUGCAUAGCUACCUUUCCCAAGGAGCAAUUUUAUUUUUUCAACCAAUUCCACAAACCACCUCACUGCUCUGUCAAAGAAGAUAUGGUAACUCUGCUUUCAUGAAAUCGGCAGUAUUAAGUAUAGCAUCUGUACCAAUCCUCACCUGCGCCAUAGGCGACAGAGAAUAUUAUGUUAUAACAUUUAGUACAUAAACCAUGGAAAAGCAUAGUCAAAGGGUGCCUUUAGUUCAUUCGCAUGCAACAACAUCCAAAUUAAAUAGAAUAAGUGGUCUUUCUUCUGA
Molecule: non-coding RNA, 629 nt
Organism: Nicotiana tabacum (common tobacco)
Lineage: Eukaryota; Viridiplantae; Streptophyta; Magnoliopsida; Solanales; Solanaceae
Source: RefSeq, a predicted model, not a curated record